GCCGCCUACGGGGCGCAGCAGUGGGGAAUAUUGCACAAUGGGGGAAACCCUGAUGCAGCAACGCCGCGUGAGUGAAGAAGGUUUUCGGAUUGUAAAGCUCUGUUAGCAGGGAAGAGGAAGGACGGUACCUGCAGAGGAAGCCCCGGCUAACUACGUGCCAGCAGCCGCGGUAAUACGUAGGGGGCAAGCGUUAUCCGGAUUUACUGGGUGUAAAGGGGGCGUAGACGGCAGCGCAAGUCUGGAGUGAAAUGCCGGGGCUCAACCCCGGAACUGCUUUGGCAACUGUGCAGCUAGAGUGCGGGAGG
This 305-nucleotide ribosomal RNA is filed under the name uncultured bacterium. RNAcentral describes it as "bacterial SSU rRNA". It matches the Rfam family "Bacterial small subunit ribosomal RNA", at positions 334 to 655 of the family's 1533-position model. The record is from RNAcentral.